AACGCAUAUUGCGCUCUUUGGUAUUCCGAAGAGCAUGCUUGUUUGAGUAUCAGUAAACACCUCAAAGACUUCAAUUUGUUUUGAAUGGCUUUGGACUUGAGCAAUCCCAACACCAGUCUUUACGAUCGGUGGAGGGUUGCUUGAAAUGCAGGUGCAGCUGGACUUUCUCCUGAGCUAAAAGCAUAUUCAUUUAGUCCCGUCAAACGGAUUAUUACUUUUGCUGCAGCUAACAUAAAGGGAGAUUGACCAUUUUGGCUGACUGAUGCAGGAUUUUCACAAGAGUCUUCAAACCACUCUUGUUAAACUCGAUCUCAAAUCAAGUAAGACUACCCGCUGAACUUAA
Molecule: unclassified non-coding RNA, 343 nt
Filed under: uncultured Mortierella
Lineage: Eukaryota; Fungi; Mortierellomycota; Mortierellomycetes; Mortierellales; Mortierellaceae
Description: sequence contains ITS2
Source: RNAcentral